This 253-nucleotide ribosomal RNA is filed under the name uncultured bacterium. Its description in RNAcentral is "partial 16S ribosomal RNA". It matches the Rfam family "Bacterial small subunit ribosomal RNA", at positions 524 to 776 of the family's 1533-position model. The record is from RNAcentral.
GACAGAGGGUGCAAACGUUGCUCGGAAUUACUGGGCGUAAAGCGCGUGUAGGCGGCUCGGAAAGUCGGAUGUGAAAGCCCUGGGCUUAACCUAGGAAGUGCAUUCGAAACUCCCGAGCUUGAGUUCUGGAGAGGAAGGCGGAAUUCUCGGUGUAGAGGUGAAAUUCGUAGAUAUCGAGAGGAACACCGGUGGCGAAGGCGGCCUUCUGGACAGUGACUGACGCUGAGACGCGAAAGCGUGGGGAGCAAACAGG